This is a non-coding RNA of Paramuricea clavata, 655 nucleotides long. NCBI's taxonomy places the organism in Eukaryota, Metazoa, Cnidaria, Anthozoa, Malacalcyonacea, Plexauridae. The record is from the annotation of a GenBank genome assembly.
CAGGCCAUAAGGAACGCAGGCUCUGAUUUGAAAGCAAAUGCAAUAUGGCAGCAAAUAAUAAAUUUAAGAACGUGAUUUUACCAUUAUGAGAUUUUAAGUUAUAUUUUCGACCAUUGAAAUAUGGGAAAAGAUUCUAAAAAGAAGAAAAAACGUCGAAGCAGGUCUCCAUCUCCCAGAAACCGUGAAAGGAAGCGCAGUUCGUCCCCUGAAUAUGAAUCUAGGAGGCAACCAAAAGAGAAGAGCCGUGAGCAGGAAAAGUGAGUAGAAGUGCAGAUGUAGACAAAAAUUGCCGUCGAUAUUUUACAGUUCGGUUUCAAGUAUGCAAUACGAAUUAAAGUUACAUUUGUAUAUUUUUAUAAAAUAAAUCAAAUCUAAACCUAACCCUACCAACUUGGCAAUUUGCUCUCACCCGCCGAUAUUUUACAGUUCGGUUUCAAGUAUGCAAUACGAAUUAAAGUCACAGCUACAUUGUACAAUAUAAAUUAACAAAAUAUCAAGUUUUUGUUGGCGUCUCACUCGAUUGAAUAUAGUUGAAAGGCAUUGUAGAUGAAAUUAUCGAGUGGAAAUUUAUAUUGUACACUUAUUAGACCUAAACAGGAACAGCUGCGAAAAAUAUGGGAAGUUCUGCAGCCCUGUGAUUCUGGUGUGAUGCGAG